UUGAAGAGUUUGAUCAUGGCUCAGAUUGAACGCUGGCGGCAGGCCUAACACAUGCAAGUCGAGCGGUAGCACAGAGAGCUUGCUCUCGGGUGACGAGCGGCGGACGGGUGAGUAAUGUCUGGGAAACUGCCUGAUGGAGGGGGAUAACUACUGGAAACGGUAGCUAAUACCGCAUAACGUCGCAAGACCAAAGUGGGGGACCUUCGGGCCUCAUGCCAUCAGAUGUGCCCAGAUGGGAUUAGCUAGUAGGUGGGGUAAUGGCUCACCUAGGCGACGAUCCCUAGCUGGUCUGAGAGGAUGACCAGCCACACUGGAACUGAGACACGGUCCAGACUCCUACGGGAGGCAGCAGUGGGGAAUAUUGCACAAUGGGCGCAAGCCUGAUGCAGCCAUGCCGCGUGUGUGAAGAAGGCCUUCGGGUUGUAAAGCACUUUCAGCGGGGAGGAAGGCGGUGAGGUUAAUAACCUCAUCGAUUGACGUUACCCGCAGAAGAAGCACCGGCUAACUCCGUGCCAGCAGCCGCGGUAAUACGGAGGGUGCAAGCGUUAAUCGGAAUUACUGGGCGUAAAGCGCACGCAGGCGGUCUGUCAAGUCGGAUGUGAAAUCCCGGGCUCAACCGGGAACUGCAUUCGAAACUGGCAGGCUAGAGUCUUGUAGAGGGGGGUAGAAUUCCAGGUGUAGCGGUGAAAUGCGUAGAGAUCUGGAGGAAUACCGGUGGCGAAGGCGGCCCCCUGGACAAAGACUGACGCUCAGGUGCGAAAGCGUGGGGAGCAAACAGGAUUAGAUACCCUGGUAGUCCACGCCGUAAACGAUGUCGAUUUGGAGGUUGUGCCCUUGAGGCGUGGCUUCCGGAGCUAACGCGUUAAAUCGACCGCCUGGGAGUACGGCCGCAAGGUUAAAACUCAAAUGAAUUGACGGGGCCCGCACAAGCGGUGGAGCAUGUGGUUUAAUUCGAUGCAACGCGAAGAACCUUACGGUCUUGACAUCCACAGAACUUUCCAGAGAUGGAUUGGUGCCUUCGGGAACUGUGAGACAGGUGCUGCAUGGCUGUCGUCAGCUCGUGUUGUGAAAUGUUGGGUUAAGUCCCGCAACGAGCGCAACCCUUAUCCUUUGUUGCCAGCGGUUAGGCCGGGAACUCAAAGGAGACUGCCAGUGAUAAACUGGAGGAAGGUGGGGAUGACGUCAAGUCAUCAUGGCCCUUACGACCGGGCUACACGUGCUACAAUGGCAUAUACAAAGAGAAGCGACCUCGCGAGAGCAAGCGGACCUCAUAAAGUAUGUCGUAGUCCGGAUUGGAGUCUGCAACUCGACUCCAUGAAGUCGGAAUCGCUAGUAAUCGUAGAUCAGAAUGCUACGGUGAAUACGUUCCCGGGCCUUGUACACACCGCCCGUCACACCAUGGGAGUGGGUUGCAAAAGAAGUAGGUAGCUUAACCUUCGGGAGGGCGCUUACCACUUUGUGAUUCAUGACUGGGGUGAAGUCGUAACAAGGUAACCGUAGGGGAACCUGCGGUUGGAUCACCUCCUU
This 1527-nucleotide ribosomal RNA is filed under the name Klebsiella pneumoniae. Its description in RNAcentral is "bacterial SSU rRNA". It matches the Rfam family "Bacterial small subunit ribosomal RNA". The record is from RNAcentral. Lineage: Bacteria; Pseudomonadati; Pseudomonadota; Gammaproteobacteria; Enterobacterales; Enterobacteriaceae.